CUGGCAGCUGGCCGAUGCUGCCGCUGUAUAAUCCGAGAAGCAAGUGAGCACUGCGCAGACGCCAUUUCCAUCGGCCCUCGCUUUUCUCCUCCUUUGCACCAUUUUUUCCCUCACGUUCUGCUGUUGUGCUGUGCGGGGAGAUGAUGGCGCGCAUCCGCCUAUAUAUAUUCCCUUGUCACCUUUCGUUUUUUCGUUAUCAGUUUAAUCGGCGAACAUGCAGAAUACGCCCCCCCCCUUCUCCUUCUUCUCCCGCUGCUCCUCCCCAACGGCCCGCGAACGAUCGGUGUACAUCACAGGGUUGCGCGACAUGCCAAUACGUUUAUCCGCCUAUGCCUACAGCGAAGCGAGCCAUGAAGGGUGAAAGGUGGUCCUCUCGCUAUGUUCUCGAGUGUGGGUGUGCUCGUGUCUGUUCCCGUCAUCGUGUCUGCGCUCCGAACGCGCGCGCGAAUGGAAUCAGGCCUUGCGCGUUUGUGCGCGUGGCAAGCACGCACUCGUCAAUGUGCAAUCACACGUAUGUACCCAGUCUCUCCCGUUUCCCCGAUGAUGAUGUGCGUGCAUGACGGCACCAGUGAAAUCUCACACCCUUCACGUCGUUGAUGCAAGCGGCUCGGCAUUGGCUCUAUCACUAUUAGCGUUCCCCGUUCAUCUCUUCCCCUCACUCUUGGUGUGCAUAUGCUAGUGGUGAGGUGCACUUCCCUUGUGUUUUGCCAGCGAGAAGGAUUGGUAUAGAAAGCAGCGCACCUCCGCCCACCCCCUCCUGUUCUCCGCUCUCGGUCUUGGGGCGAUAGACGUCUGCCGUGCACACGCAUAGUGCCUUCUGUGGCUGUCCCUCCGCGUGUGUGUGUGCGUGUGUUUGGCUGAGAAAGAGGACGACGAUGUGUGCCUCGACAAGCCCUCGCUUGCUGUCUUCUGUCUUCGUGUUUUCUCAGUCGCCCCGUGUCUCUUUCAUUCUGCGGCACACGGCAUUGGUGCCCGUGCCUCCCCCGGCCCCCCUUCUUCAAUGACCAUUCUUACCCGACACUCACUCACUUGGCCUCGCUGCGCCAUCAGGGAUGGAUAGAGCAACUAGUGGCGUAUGUGCGCGUAUAAUCACGAACGCACCUAAGACAAACUGUGGGAAUGCAGUGCGGUCGC
This 1134-nucleotide unclassified non-coding RNA is filed under the name Leishmania donovani. RNAcentral describes it as "gene:unknown". The record is from RNAcentral. Lineage: Eukaryota; Euglenozoa; Kinetoplastea; Trypanosomatida; Trypanosomatidae.